RNAcentral lists this ribosomal RNA (397 nucleotides) under uncultured Bacteroidota bacterium. Its description in RNAcentral is "bacterial SSU rRNA". It matches the Rfam family "Bacterial small subunit ribosomal RNA", at positions 9 to 404 of the family's 1533-position model. Lineage: Bacteria; Pseudomonadati; Bacteroidota. The record is from RNAcentral.
GAGUUUGAUCCUGGCUCAGGAUGAACGCUAGCGGCAGGCCUAAUACAUGCAAGUCGAACGGUAAAUAGUUCAGCAAUGGACUAUGAGAGUGACGCACGGGUGCGUAACACGUAUGCAACCUACCCUUUACAGGAGUAUAGCUCGGGGAAACUCGAAUUAACACUUCAUAGUAUGAUUGAAUGGCAUCAUUUGAUUAUUAAAUCUGCGGAGGUAAAGGAUGGGCAUGCGUCUGAUUAGCUAGUUGGUAGUGUAACGGACUACCAAGGCGAUGAUCAGUAGGGGAACUGAGAGGUUGAUCCCCCACACUGGCACUGAGAUACGGGCCAGACUCCUACGGGAGGCAGCAGUGGGGAAUUUUGGACAAUGGGCGCAAGCCUGAUCCAGCCAUGCCGCGUGC